Non-coding RNA from Acanthosepion pharaonis, 112 nucleotides. NCBI's taxonomy places the organism in Eukaryota, Metazoa, Mollusca, Cephalopoda, Sepiida, Sepiidae. The record is from the annotation of a GenBank genome assembly.
ACGAACAUAUCGCGUUGAAACAUCGUUUCUCUUACGAUUACUGAAGUUAAGCAACGUCGAGCCUGAUCAGUAAUUAGAUGAGUGACCUCAUGAGAAUAGCAGGUGCUGUAAG